AUUGAACGCUGGCGGCAGGCCUAACACAUGCAAGUCGAGCGAGCGGCGGACGGGUGAGGAAUGUCUGGGAAACUGCUUGAGGGAGGGGGAUUACUACAGGAAAAGGUAGCUAUUACCGCAUACCAUCAGAUGUGCCCAGAGGGGGGUAGCUAGUAGGUGGGGUAACGGCCCACCUAGGCGACGAUCCCUAGCUGGUCUGAGAGGAUGAACAGCCACACUGGAACUGAGACACGGUCCAGACUCCUACGGGAGGCAGCAGUGGGGAAUAUUGCACAAUGGGCGCAAGCCUGAUGCAGCCAUGCCGCGUGUGUGAAGAAGGCCUUCGGGUUGUAAAGCACUUUCAGCGGGGAGGCGUUACCCGCAGAAGAAGCACCGGCUAACUCCGUGCCAGCCGCCGCGGUAAUAC
This 406-nucleotide ribosomal RNA is filed under the name uncultured bacterium. RNAcentral describes it as "partial 16S ribosomal RNA". It matches the Rfam family "Bacterial small subunit ribosomal RNA", at positions 29 to 526 of the family's 1533-position model. The record is from RNAcentral.